Molecule: non-coding RNA, 2810 nt
Organism: Taeniopygia guttata (zebra finch)
Lineage: Eukaryota; Metazoa; Chordata; Aves; Passeriformes; Estrildidae
Source: RefSeq, a predicted model, not a curated record
CAUGAAGGAAUGCAAAACAAUAUGUUGUUUACAGAAAUUGUAUGGGAAAGUUUUCCAACAGAAUGUAAACUCAGAAGGCUUUAGAAAAACUUAAGAAUCAGGGCGACAAUAAGGAGCCAUGCCUUUUAACGAAAACAGGGUGGGGUUAGCUUAGAUAUUUGGAAGAAAUCCUUUGCUGUGAGAGUGGUGAGACACUGGCAGCUGUUGCAGAUAGAAGCUGAGGAUGCUCCAUCUCUGGAAGUGUCCAAGACCAGGUUGGAUGAGGCUUUGAGUGACCUGGUCCAGCGGAAGGUGCCCCUGUUUGUGGCAGAGAGUUGGGACUAGAUGAUCUCUAAGGUCCCUUCCAACCCAAACAUUUCUAUGAUUAUUCACCUCAAAACUCCUAAUGUACUACCAAUAACUUUAAGUUACACUUGUCGCCAUGUCUCCUAGUUUUGCUUGUGGAGGUUGAGAAGGGGUGGAGCCUGUGGCCAUGCAGGCACAGCUGGGCUGCUAUUCUAUAUCAUCCCCAUCAUUGCUGGGCUGUGGCUUCAGGGAGAGAAAAAGUGAAGGCACCGCAGAAACAGCACUGCUUUGUUCCAUUUCUUCCUCAGGGAAGUUACCAGGAGAAGCACUGCAAAUCUUGUCCCUCUUCUGCCACUGCCUGUCCUUUCCUGUUCCUCAGGAAGAAUGCUGCUCCAAGCAGCAAGCACAGCUGAGCCCAGCAGAGCACCAUGACAACAGUGUGGGAUGAGCCAUGGGGAAUGAAAGUGAGCCUGAGCCUGAGUCCAGCCGAGCCAAGCCUAGUGGAGAAGACCUGGGCCAAGCUGAUACUAUGAAGGACAGUUGAGCCCAGCAGUUGAAAUCAGGUGACACAACACAGACUGUUCCAGCUUUUGGGAGACCAAGAUGUUUAUUAUCAGCUUGGGGUCUCAGCCCUCUUGGCGCCAGAGAUGACCAGAUAACCCCCUGCCGGCCAGACCUGGGUUAUCUCAUCCAUAUGCACCAGCUGAGGUGUUGCCACAAGCAUAUUCAACUAAGCUUAACAAUUUAAUUCUGAUGAUGUCAUCAAGUACUUGCAUAUCAGGUGCUGUGAGCCCCAACACCAGCAAGGCUAUCCCCGUGCUCUCAGUGUGUGGAAAUACUGGUGCAUGACCAAAGGACUAAGAGAUUACAUGGACAUCACUAAGAUCCCAGCAGUGAAGGGAUCAGGACAUCAUACUGACAUUCCUGAAGCCCUGCCUCUGAGUUUAUCACUGGAAUAAGGUUGGACAGAUUCAUAGCUGCACUCCUGGUAAUUAAAAAGAAAUAGCUACAGAGAUAACAACAGAAAACAGAAGUGACUUCUUUCUCCACAGCCCACAAAACCCAUUCCCAUGACUCAUCACAUCAGAACCCAGAAAAAAAAGCAUAUGAUAGGAAUAGUUCUUGUUAAAAUUGCACAUCCUAAAGCUCUAUCAAGGCUGGGUGCAGAAGAUUCUCCUUCCUGAAAAUGUUUCAGUAUGCUCCAGUUUCUGCAAAGGUCUGUGCUCAGCUGACGUAUAUGGAAGUAGUGGCAUUUUCCUCAUACCUGCACCCAUCUCUUGGUAGUUGUUCUGUAUUCAUGAUUACUGCAAAUAUUAGCAGUGAUACAUUAAGAGAUAGUUCAGUAGUGCUUAUUGGGUUCAGAAAAUCCCUUGCAUAUAGAAAAAGAAUACCCUAGAAGUCCCUAAGAAAAUGCCAACUACAACCCUGGAAACUUCAUGGAACAGCUAAGUUUCUGCGAAGGACAUAGCUGCUUCAAAUGGGCACCAGUUUAACAGAUGCUUUCUGAUUUAUCAUUCUCAUGUAAGUUUUCCUACUCUUUUCUGUUUUCUAAAACUUGCCUCCAUAGGCAAUGCAAUCAGUGUAGUUGUAUAACUGCAUAAGCAAAACUGUGGAGAUACAAGAAAGUCUAAGUAAAGACUAUUUUUCACUCUAAGUUACUUUAUCCUGGUAGCACAAUCACAGUUCCAAAACAAUUUACCUUAAGAUCAAAAUAUUUUCUUCCAGCAGGAAGCUGGAAUUGUUUACCACAGAUAAAAACACCAAGGAAAAAAACUGAACAAAAAUAAAACACACUGAGUCUUGAAAAAGGCAUAACAAGGAGAAUUUGACCUUUUAAAUGGAAUUGUCUUUACAGACAACUCCUUCCAUCUGAGAUGUCCAGAGAACUUUUGACAUUUUUUGACAUUAGAAACAUUUGCUUUUUUCCAACUUUAAUUAAUUUUCAUAUUUCACAAAACAAGGUAAGAGCAGGCACACUGUAACAAAGGACUUAAGACCAGAUGAUGCAACAAUGGCAAACAGUACACUAGAAAUGUUCCUGCAUAGGAGAGGGUGAGGAGGAAGACUGGCUAGAUGCAUUUGACAAAUUCAUGUCUGUUUUGAUGGACAGAAAUAAUUUUCAUAAUUCAUUACAAAAUCAUACCUGUACUUAAUAAAAAGAAACACAAAUGCAGUCAGAUUGUGUAUCUCUUGGUGAAUCUGGUUUGGACAUUUAUUUAAAGGAAGCACUGAAACAGGGAAGAGCAAACCCUGUGCACUUCAAACUCCAAGAAAAGUCUUGCAUUUGACUUUGACCCGACAGAGGAACAGAAAUGCAGGAUAAAAAAUUUUCAACACUAUUUCCCCAUCACUAGAGCUCACACUCUUGAAUGGAAUUUGCAAGAACCCAGAAAAAAAAAAAAAAAAAGUAGGUUUUAAGAUACAUAAAGAAAUUAAAAGGUUAGACAGCUCCUGCUAUGGUCAACAAUCAGAUCUUGAAUUUCUGAGACAAACAACAUUCCUCAUUCUGCCUCAAGUCGAGGUAA